Molecule: ribosomal RNA, 506 nt
Filed under: uncultured bacterium
Lineage: Bacteria
Description: partial 16S ribosomal RNA
Rfam family: Bacterial small subunit ribosomal RNA
Source: RNAcentral
GAUGAACGCUAGCUACAGGCUUAACACAUGCAAGUCGAGGGGUAACGAGAGGAAAGCUUGCUUUCCUUGUCGACGACCGGCGCACGGGUGAGUAACGCGUAUCCAACCUGCCCCCAACUAGGGAAUAACCUUGCGAAAGUAAGACUAAUACCCUAUAAUUUCCUCAGAUGACAUCUGACGAGGAAUAAAGAUUUAUCGGUUGUGGAUGGGGAUGCGUCUGAUUAGCUUGUUGGCGGGGUAACGGCCCACCAAGGCAACGAUAGGUAGGGGUUCUGAGAGGAAGGGACCCCACAUUGGACGCGAGCGACGGUCCAAACGCCUACGGGAGGUAGCAGCGAUGAAUAUUGGUCAAUGGGCGGAAGCCUGUAUCAGCCAAGUAGCGUGCAGUACGACGGCACUAUGGGUUGUAAACUGCUUUUAUACAGGAAUAAAGUUAGCCACGUGUGGUUAUUUGUAGGUACUGUAUGAAUAAGGACCGGCUAAGUCCGUGCCAGCCGCCGCAGUAA